Molecule: long non-coding RNA, 314 nt
Organism: Empidonax traillii (willow flycatcher)
Lineage: Eukaryota; Metazoa; Chordata; Aves; Passeriformes; Tyrannidae
Exons: 3
Source: RefSeq, a predicted model, not a curated record
CAUCUUAGGUCCAGUGCUCUUCAACAUCUUCAUAAAUGACUUGGACACAGGACUCAAAGGAAUACUAAGUAAAUUUGCCGACAACACUAAAUUGGGAGGAGCUGUCGACUCCCUCAAAGGCAGAGAGGCCCUGCAGAGAGACCUUGACAAAUUAGACAGAUGGGCAAGCACCAAUUGUAUGAAGCUUAACAAGGGUAAGCUUCUGGGACAGGGCAACCCUGGUUGUGUGUAUAGACUAGGGAACCAGAGGCUGGAGAGCAGUACUGUGGAAAAGGACCUGGGGGUCUUGGUUGAUGGCAAGAACAUCAACACUG